This is a long non-coding RNA of Chelonus insularis, 1016 nucleotides long. RefSeq lists it as uncharacterized. The record is from RefSeq and is a predicted model, not a curated record. The transcript has 4 exons. Lineage: Eukaryota; Metazoa; Arthropoda; Insecta; Hymenoptera; Braconidae.
AUAAUAAGCAUUAAUUCAUUGCUAAAUUAAAAUUAUAUCCAUCAAAAGAAGAGGUUAAUUUUCCUUGUUUCAAAUUGAAAUAAAAAUUGCAUCAUCUUGGAUGUAGCCAAAAAUUUUUUCUAUUUAUUUUAUGUGUAUAACAAUAUAUGAUAGGAACUGAACACUUGCCAGGAACACCUUUUACUCGAUAAUUUUUGGCACGACGCCAACAAUUUUUUCAUUGAGAAAUCAAACCAAACGUUGGGAUUUAUUCAAUACAUCAUCAUCAUCAUCAACAUUGCCAUCCGGUUUUAAUCUUUGACCGUUGACAAUAACUUUCAGCGUGUAUCUGUACUGUGUAAGCUUCUUUACUAAGCAAGGUUAGGGUUUAAUUAUUUUUCGACGAAAUUUAACGUUGAGUAUAAAGUCUUCGAAAUGUAUAAAACAAACAGAAUAAUAAAAUAACAGAGGUAAAAGAGAACAUAUAUGCUUUUUUACUCGGUUGACGUCAAUGUCAUAAAUCGAAGUUCAGACUUAAUUGGUAUAUUUUUUUUACCACCUGUAAAUAUCAUGAUUUAAUAUUCAAGAAGAAAUUAAUUAAUUCUGCUUGGUGAAUAAACGUCGGAUUUGAUUUGGGAAUAAUAAAUAUCUUAAAAGAAAGUAAUUUUUCUAUUUGAAUUCUAUGUAUUCGACUUGAACAACUAUAUUUUGUUAUCUGUGAAGAUUUGGCAUCAAGUUCAAUUCCGAAUGAUGUUUGAAUAUUUAAUUGAAGCAUUCUGAAGACAAAGAAAGAUUUAGAGUUACAAAUGCCAAGUAGCAUUUAUAUUAGCUAUGAAAUAAAAUCAUAGAGUAACUUUAGUUUAUUAAUAUCGAAUAUAAUUUGAUAAUUUGGUAAAUUAAUCUGAAAAUUAAGUGGUUUAUCUAUUAAAAAAAAUUUCAAAUAGCUAAUGAAUAUAUUUAUAUUCAUUUUAACAAAAAAAAAAACCUUGACAUUAAAUAGUUUAAAACAUUUUUAGCAUACGAAACUCAUUAAUCAA